Molecule: regulatory RNA element, 184 nt
Organism: Drosophila melanogaster (fruit fly)
Lineage: Eukaryota; Metazoa; Arthropoda; Insecta; Diptera; Drosophilidae
Rfam family: R2 RNA element
About the family: This family represents the 3' UTR region of the R2 retrotransposable element. This family is known to interact with the R2-encoded reverse transcriptase in a reaction known as target primed reverse transcription (TPRT).
Source: Rfam
ACUUAGCUAAAACGUUUGGUUCAAAACAUUUGAUUGCUGUCUUGGCAUAACAUCAAAAAGGCAUAAACAUCGCAAAAAUUGCAAAACUUCGGUUCAGAUAGAGCAAUGAAUCGUGCAUGCUAGGAAUACUGACCAUACAUAGUGUUGGCAGACCUCUUUUGAAGAUUUCCAUACCUCUGCGAUC